UACGUAGGGUGCGAGCGUUGUUCGGAAUUAUUGGGCGUAAAGGGCGCGUAGGCGGUGCGGUAAGUCACCUGUGAAAUCUCCUGGCUCAACUGGGAGCUUGCAGGCGAAACUGCCGUGCUGGAGUGUGGGAGAGGUGCGUGGAAUUCCUGGUGUAGCGGUGAAAUGCGUAGAUAUCAGGAGGAACACCUGUGGCGAAAGCGGCGCACUGGACCACAACUGACGCUGAGGCGCGAAAGCUAGGGGAGCAAACAGG
Molecule: ribosomal RNA, 253 nt
Filed under: uncultured bacterium
Lineage: Bacteria
Description: partial 16S ribosomal RNA
Rfam family: Bacterial small subunit ribosomal RNA
Source: RNAcentral